Molecule: transfer RNA, 71 nt
Filed under: Marmota monax (woodchuck)
Lineage: Eukaryota; Metazoa; Chordata; Mammalia; Rodentia; Sciuridae
Description: tRNA.Val
Source: RNAcentral
GGGGUUGUGGCUCAGUGGUAGAGUGCUCACCUCACAUGUGCGAGACCCUGGAUUCGAUCCUUAGCACCACA